This 504-nucleotide ribosomal RNA is filed under the name uncultured bacterium. Its description in RNAcentral is "partial 16S ribosomal RNA". It matches the Rfam family "Bacterial small subunit ribosomal RNA", at positions 30 to 523 of the family's 1533-position model. The record is from RNAcentral.
AUUGAACGCUGGCGGCAGGCCUAACACAUGCAAGUCGAACGGUAGCACAGAGAGCUUGCUCUCGGGUAACGAGUGGCGGACGGGUGAGUAACGUCUGGGAAACUGCCCGAUGGAGGGAGAUAACUACUGGAAACGGUAGCUAAUACCGCAUAACGUCGCAAGACCAAAGUGGGGGACCUUCGGGCCUCACACCAUCGGAUGUGCCCAGAUGGGAUUAGCUAGUAGGUGGGGUAAUGGCUCACCUAGGCGACGAUCCCUAGCUGGUCUGAGAGGAUGACCAGCCACACUGGAACUGAGACACGGUCCAGACUCCUACGGGAGGCAGCAGUGGGGAAUAUUGCACAAUGGGCGCAAGCCUGAUGCAGCCAUGCCGCGUGUAUGAAGAAGGCCUUCGGGUUGUAAAGUACUUUCAGCGGGGAGGAAGGCGGUGAAGUUAAUAGCUUCACCGAUUGACGUUACCCGCAGAAGAAGCACCGGCUAACUCCGUGCCAGCCGCCGCAGUAA